CCUACGGGCGGCAGCAGUGAGGAAUAUUGGUCAAUGGACGAGAGUCUGAACCAGCCAAGUAGCGUGAAGGAUGACUGCCCUAUGGGUUGUAAACUUCUUUUAUAUGGGAAUAAAACGUUCCACGAGUGGGAUUUUGUAUGUACCAUAUGAAUAAGGAUCGGCUAACUCCGUGCCAGCAGCCGCGGUAAUACGGAGGCUCCGAGCGUUAUCCGGAUUUAUUGGGUAUAAGGGGAGCGUAUGUGGAUUGUUAAGUCAGUUGUGAAAGUUUGCGGCUCAACCGUAAAAUUGCAGUUGAAAAUGGCAGUCUUGAGUACAGUAGAGGUGGGCGGAAUUCGUGGUGUAGCGGUGAAAUGCUUAGAUAUCACGAAGAACUCCGAUUGCGAAGGCAGUUCACUGGACUGCAACUGACACUGAGGCUCGAAAGUGUGGGUAUCAAACAGGAUUAGAUACCCCGGUAGUC
Molecule: ribosomal RNA, 460 nt
Filed under: uncultured bacterium
Lineage: Bacteria
Description: partial 16S ribosomal RNA
Rfam family: Bacterial small subunit ribosomal RNA
Source: RNAcentral